RNAcentral lists this ribosomal RNA (497 nucleotides) under uncultured bacterium. RNAcentral's name for it is "partial 16S ribosomal RNA". It matches the Rfam family "Bacterial small subunit ribosomal RNA", at positions 28 to 507 of the family's 1533-position model. The record is from RNAcentral.
GAUGAACGCUGGCGGCGUGCCUAAUACAUGCAAGUCGAGCGAACAGACGAGGAGCUUGCUCCUCUGACGUUAGCGGCGGACGGGUGAGUAACACGUGGAUAACCUACCUAUAAGACUGGGAUAACUUCGGGAAACCGGAGCUAAUACCGGAUAAUAUAUUGAACCGCAUGGUUCAAUAGUGAAAGACGGUUUUGCUGUCACUUAUAGAUGGAUCCGCGCCGCAUUAGCUAGUUGGUAAGGUAACGGCUUACCAAGGCAACGAUGCGUAGCCGACCUGAGAGGGUGAUGGGGCGCACGGGAGGGGAGACACGGUCGAGAGUCCUGCGGGAGGCAGGGGUGGGGGAGGGGCGGCGAUGGGCGAGGGCCGGACGGAGCGGGGCGGCGUGAGUGAUGAAGGUGUUGGGAGCGUAAAACUCUGUUAUUAGGGAAGAACAAAUGUGUAAGUAACUAUGCACGUCUUGACGGUACCUAAUCAGAAAGCCACGGCUAACCACGUG